GCCCGUCUUCUGGCUCGUUUUGCUUUGAUUUUUUAACCUGGUUUUGUUUUGAGUGCUUGACUGGGUGUUUUGGGAGGUGUCCUUGGACUGGCUCUUAAUUUCCAAACGAUAUACCUGUCGGCGACGCUACUGCUUUGGGUACUUUCAGGACCCGUCUUGAAACACGGACCAAGGAGUCUAACAUGUGCGCGAGUCAUUGGGUUUACUAAACCUAAAGGCGCAAUGAAAGUGAAGGUCUUCUUUAGCAUUGGCCGAGGGGGGGGGGCUGGAGUCACGAUUUGAGCCAAACACUCCUGGGGUGUGCUCGUGUGAAG
Molecule: ribosomal RNA, 314 nt
Filed under: Encarsia formosa
Lineage: Eukaryota; Metazoa; Arthropoda; Insecta; Hymenoptera; Aphelinidae
Description: partial large subunit ribosomal RNA
Rfam family: Eukaryotic large subunit ribosomal RNA
Source: RNAcentral